AUGCAGUCGAACGAUGAAGCCCUUCGGGGUGGAUUAGUGGCGAACGGGUGAGUAACACGUGGGCAAUCUGCCCUUCACUCUGGGACAAGCCCUGGAAACGGGGUCUAAUACCGGAUAACACUCUGUCCCUCAUGGGGCGGGGUUAAAAGCUCCGGCGGUGAAGGAUGAGCCCGCGGCCUAUCAGCUUGUUGGUGGGGUAAUGGCCUACCAAGGCGACGACGGGUAGCCGGCCUGAGAGGGCGACCGGCCACACUGGGACUGAGACACGGCCCAGACUCCUACGGGAGGCAGCAGUGGGGAAUAUUGCACAAUGGGCGAAAGCCUGAUGCAGCGACGCCGCGUGAGGGAUGACGGCCUUCGGGUUGUAAACCUCUUUCAGCAGGGAAGAAGCGCAAGUGACGGUACCUGCAGAAGAAGCACCGGCUAACUACGUGCCAGCAGCCGCGGUAAUACGUAGGGUGCGAGCGUUGUCCGGAAUUAUUGGGCGUAAAGAGCUCGUAGGCGGCUUGUCACGUCGGAUGUGAAAGCUCGGGGCUUAACCCCGAGUCUGCAUUCGAUACGGGCUAGCUAGAGUGUGGUAGGGGAGAUCGGAAUUCCUGGUGUAGCGGUGAAAUGCGCAGAUAUCAGGAGGAACACCGGUGGCGAAGGCGGAUCUCUGGGCCAUUACUGACGCUGAGGAGCGAAAGCGUG
Molecule: ribosomal RNA, 690 nt
Filed under: Streptomyces sp. I08A-00439
Lineage: Bacteria; Bacillati; Actinomycetota; Actinomycetes; Kitasatosporales; Streptomycetaceae
Description: bacterial SSU rRNA
Rfam family: Bacterial small subunit ribosomal RNA
Source: RNAcentral